Eriocheir sinensis (Chinese mitten crab) is the source of this 299-nucleotide long non-coding RNA. RefSeq lists it as uncharacterized. The transcript is spliced from 3 exons. The record is from RefSeq and is a predicted model, not a curated record. Lineage: Eukaryota; Metazoa; Arthropoda; Malacostraca; Decapoda; Varunidae.
UCUUUCUCUGCCUCUGUGGUGGAUAGUGGAGUGUUUCCCAUGUGGUAUUGGUGUGCUGAAUAUCCCUUCACUGGUAGCCUGGUAACAUACACUCCCAGGUCUUUCUCUGCCUCUGUGGUGGAUAGUGGAGUGUUUCCCAUGUGGUAUUGGUGUGCUGGAUAUCCCUUCACUGGUAGCCUGGUAACAUACACUCCCAGGUCUUUCUCUGCCUCUGUGGUGGAUAGUGGAGUGUUUCCCAUGUGGUAUUGGUGUGCUGGAUAUCCUCUCCCAAGGUGCAGGACUUUACAUUUUUCUGCACU